Molecule: RNase P RNA, 382 nt
Filed under: Dehalococcoidia bacterium
Lineage: Bacteria; Bacillati; Chloroflexota; Dehalococcoidia
Description: RNase P RNA component class A
Rfam family: Bacterial RNase P class A
About the family: Ribonuclease P (RNase P) is a ubiquitous endoribonuclease, found in archaea, bacteria and eukarya as well as chloroplasts and mitochondria. Its best characterised activity is the generation of mature 5'-ends of tRNAs by cleaving the 5'-leader elements of precursor-tRNAs.
Source: RNAcentral
ACAGUGGGCCGGGUGGUCGCCCCCCGCCUGUGAGCGGGGGGAGGAAAGUCCGGGCUCCACCGGGCAGCGUGCUGGGUAACGCCCAGGCGGGGCGACCCGCGGAAAGUGGCACAGAAACCAUACCGCCGCCGGGAUUCCGGCGGUAAGGGUGAAAAGGUGGGGUAAGAGCCCACCAGCGGCAGGGCGACCUGCCGGCUGGCCAAACCCCACGCGGAGCAAGGCCAAAUAGGAGGGCGAGCCCCUUUUGGGGCCUAGGGAUGCCCGGCCCGAUGCCCUCGGGUAGGCCGCUUGAGCCUCUCCGUAAGGGGAGGCCCAGAUUGAUGACCACCGGUCGCCCCUUAGGGGGCGACUACAGAACCCGGCUUAUAGGCCCACUGCCCCC